Long non-coding RNA from Cygnus olor (mute swan), 1753 nucleotides. RefSeq lists it as uncharacterized. The transcript has 2 exons. The record is from RefSeq and is a predicted model, not a curated record. NCBI's taxonomy places the organism in Eukaryota, Metazoa, Chordata, Aves, Anseriformes, Anatidae.
CACAGCGCCCUUCGUGCCACGCAGCCGGGGCUGCUCCCAGGCCUUCCUGGUGCGUUCAGCCGCCCGCGCCUCGCCCACCCCGCCAGCUUUGCCCCAGCGCUCCUUCGGCAGGGAGCGAACGAAUAAACGUCAAAUAGAAGGGAGAAGGGAGUGCGGGGAGGGUAUGAUAAAGAGGGCUGAGACCUUCAGACACCAGUCGUGCUCACCCAGCCGAGGCCGCUGCCUCCCCUCCAGCUGCGCGGAAGCUCCUGCAGGCUCAUGUCCUCAAGCAGCCCCACCGCCUCCUGCUGUGCAGCUCGGUGUCACGAGCACUCAGUUCUUGCUUGCUCCCCUCUGCACCUCUCCAUCCUUCCGGCCAGGUAGCGCAAGCUCCCUAUCUCUGCGCCAUAUCUGCUCUGGACGUGUUCUGGCCUCACCUAAAACACCACAAGUUGACCGCUCGUGCACUCAGAGCUCAAACUGCCUGCUCGGCGGGCACAGCAGGUGACCUGAUUUUGAUGAGGAGCCAGAUAAGCAGGGACCUGUUGCGUGGAGGCAGAUAGCAACAAGGCUGGGCCUUGCCAAGGAGCCUGGGUUUGUCGUUCGGAAACUCUACCCCAUGCUAUCAGGUGUCAGCGUGCUGGAAGGAGCCCAGCGUGAAGUCAGGCAGCCUACCUGCCUGGAAAAAGCCAGGGAGGCGAGUGCCGUGAGUUCAUGGCAAUCAGGUACCACCACCUGGCAGCUAACAGCCACGAGAUGAAUUACAGCAACGAUUAGGGGAGUGAUCUGGUUCGAGUGGCAGGGCUUCAGUCUGAACAUGUUCCUACUUAGCUUACACAUUUCAUUUGCAGGCAGAUGUCAAGCUGGAUGUUGCUAGGAGAAUGACAGCAGGGGAAUAAUUAAGUCUGAUUAAAUCCUAUCAUAUUGCCACGCUGCUUUCUGGAACGCUCUGGAGCUUUCCCAGCGAAACUGACCAAAUGCAAGGGCAAGAACUGUGGCACAUCCUGGUCCACACAAACCCACUUGCAAUCGACUCGCUAAGCCCUGGGACGGAGCCCCUGUCUGCCCACGUGUUUGCAGAGCAUGUCCCACAGCAUCGCUGGCCUGCAGGCUGGAGGAAGGGCUCGGGGAGAGGACACACCGCAGCUAUGUCAGCAGGACCAGGAGCAGGUGGUGCCUGUGGGUGUCCCACACCCAGCUGCCCUGCAUCAGCCCCGCCAGCUGCCCCGGGCACUCACAUCGGUCUGGGUACAACCCAGUGCCCACAUAACAUGCAUGGGCCAAAGCUCUCCUCUGGUUCAGCCUCUUACAUCCUGAUAGGGCUGGGCCACAUCCUGGAGACCUUCAGCAGAACUUCCCCCUUCCCUUCCUCUGAAAGCAGGCUGGCACAUCAAAACCGCUCCGCAAACGCAGCUUGCGCUUGGUGUUGUCAACCACAGGCACUUCCUCUGCAGCAGCACCUGUUUGCCUUUUUGUUUGGUAAGGUCAAACAUCACAAGGUGUGACACGUCAAGGUGAAUAACAGCGAUGUGCUCUUUUCUCAGCAGUAAAUAAAGUUGUGCUGUAACUAUCCGCACCGGUUGCCACACACACAUCUGUCUCCAGGCUCCCUCCACAGCGAGCCUGCUAACCUCAUUUGACUCUCUGCCCUAUAGAAAUUCUCACUCUAAUACUCACACUGUAAUCCUUCCCCCCAAAUUACAUGUCAUCGCAUCAGCCAUGAUACUAAUUAAUGUAAUACAUUAUUAUUAAUUAAAUGCCACUAAAUACCACA